AUGGUCUGUGUUUAGCAUUAAGGUGGUCUUUGUUUAAUAUUCAGGUGGUCUGUGUUUAGUAUUAAGGUGGUCUGUGUUAUGGUCUGUGUUUAGUAUUCAGGUGGUCUGUGUUAUGGUCUGUGUUUAGUAUUCAGGUGGUCUGUGUUAUGGUCUGUGUUUAGUAUUCAGGUGGUCUGUGUUUAGCAUUAAGGUGGUCUGUGUUUAGCAUUAAGGUGGUCUGUGUUUAGCAUUAAGGUGGUCUGUGUUUAGCAUUAAGGUGGUCUGUGUUUAGCAUUAAGGUGGUCUGUGUUUAGCAUUAAGGUGGUCUGUGUUUAGUAUUAAGGUGGUCUGUGUUUAGCAUUAAGGUGGUCUGUGUUAUGGUCUGUGUUUAGUAUUCAGGUGGUCUGUGUUUAGUAUUAAGGUGGUCUGUGUUAUGGUCUGUGUUUAGUAUUCAGGUGGUCUGUGUUUAGUAUUAAGGUGGUCUGUGUUAUGGUCUGUGUUUAGUAUUCAGGUGGUCUGUGUUAUGGUCUGUGUUUAGUAUUCAGGUGGUCUGUGUUUAGUAUUCAGGUGGUCUGUGUUUAGUAUUAAGGUGGUCUGUGUUAUGGUCUGUGUUUAGUAUUCAGGUGGUCUGUGUUAUGGUCUGUGUUUAGUAUUCAGGUGGUCUGUGUUUAGUAUUAAGGUGGUCUGUGUUAUGGUCUGUGUUUAGUAUUCAGGUGGUCUGUGUUUAGCAUUAAGGUGGUCUGUGUUUAGUAUUAAGGUGGUCUGUGUUUAGUAUUAAGGUGGUCUGUGUUUAGUAUUCAGGUGGUCUGUGUUUAGUAUUAAGGUGGUCUGUGUUAUGGUCUGUGUUUAGUAUUCAGGUGGUCUGUGUUUA
Oncorhynchus keta (chum salmon) is the source of this 850-nucleotide long non-coding RNA. RefSeq lists it as uncharacterized. The transcript has 6 exons. The record is from RefSeq and is a predicted model, not a curated record. NCBI's taxonomy places the organism in Eukaryota, Metazoa, Chordata, Actinopteri, Salmoniformes, Salmonidae.